GCAGGGGAGCAGGGAGCCUGAUGUGGGGCUCGAUCCCAGAACGCUGGGAUCAGGGCCUGAGCUGAAGGAGCUGAAGGCAGAUGUUUAACGACUGAGCUACCCAGGCGCCCCACAGCAGGCCUCUUUAAAAUGCGAAGUGAGGAUGGGCAAGUGGGAGUGGCGUGGUCCAACGACUGGGCAGGAGGCAGGGAGGAGGGGCUCAGGGGGAGAACGGCCCUGACUGGUCUAGAGGAAGGGUUUGGUGGGCGCUGCUCCCUGAUGCAGCCCAGAAGCCCGCAGCCAGGCGCACUGGCGCGGGGGCGGGGGGCACAGACAGCGCCUUGGCUCAGGGCCAGCUUCCUCGGGGCCCGGCUCUGCCUAGAAUGGCAGGCCGGCAGGACUCUGGCUGGUGCCCACCUGUCUUCUGGUGCCCGUGAGGGCGUCUCAGCCCCGCUCCUCCACAGCUGUGCCCUCUGGGGGCCCUGGGAGCUGAGAAACCCCUCUCCUGUGACCUUUCAAGCAGCGGAACAUCAGCCAGAAGGGGUCUUAGUAACCCUCUCGCCUGAGUCCUUACCUUCCACUUAAGGAAACUGAGGCCAACUUAAUUUUUAAUCCCUCUCAGAUGUGUUUACAUUUUAUUAGAGAUUUUUACAGUUGUGCUUAAUGCAAAAGAACACAUCGCUGAUGCCGAGUCUUGUGACACCCACAGGGAGAUCAUUUUCAGUCUUUUAGGUGCAUAGAGGAGGGACAAAGGGGCGGGGAUUCCUGAUUGCCCUACUCUACUAUCUCUGAGCAAAGCUGUCUUCACUCCCCCAAUGUCACCCCUGCAAGUCCCUGAGCAAAUGCCCAGGGGUACGAGCCCGAGGCCCAGGUUAAUUAGGGGCAGCUUAGAUUGAGGCUGUUCAUUUUCUGCUGGUUACCUCACUGAUCCAUAUAGGAAGGAAUGCUAUGCAGUCCUAUUCUCUUUCUAUUUUCCUCCAAUAACUACCCCCUUCCGGCCCCCACUCUGAGUUCCUUGCCUGUGUUAUCCUUGGCCCUAAUUCCCAGCGGCAGCAUUCCUCAGCAGGGUAGUGGCCAGCUGGGUCUGGGCUCCCAGGUUCCUGCUUCCCCCUGCAGACAGGAACAACUCACUCCAUGAGCCUGUAUGGGGCAAGGGCAGCUGAAGGACUGGUAGGAGGAGAGGGAGAGUGGAGAGGCAGAUGGUUGGACCUGGCUGGAUGGGAAGAUGAGGAAACUGAAGCUCAGACUUGAGACUUGAUGACUUGCUCAAGGUUACAAGGCUCCUAAGUGGCCAUGUGGGACUCAGGCAAGCUCUUCCCAGCAUGCACCCUGCAUGGUGGAUGGCACCAGGCACCCUUGGUGACGUGAGAACUUCUGAGAGGCGGUGCGGCGGAAGGGGAAGAGCAUUAGUUCUAGCACUCUCUUGUGCUACCUCGGGAAGCGCUUCACCUCUCUGAGCCUUGGUUUUCUCAUCUGUGAGGUAGGCUUAGGCACACCUGUCAACCUCAUGGGGUGGCCACGUGGCUUAAAUAAGAUGGGGGGAGGGCGGGUGGAAAUCGUGUGCCUCUAUUCCAUCAUGAGUUAUUAUCAUCUUCCAGAGUGCCCCAUGGCAAAUAAGUGCCUGAACUCUUAUCAGCUCAUAUCUCGGGGGCCAGCUGAGCUUCUGAGAGGCACAGGACCGAGAGCAGUGUGAACGGGACACAGGACAGCCCCUUGGGUGCAGGUGGGAGCUACGAACUCUUAGGUCCACCUGUCCUUAGCGUGGCCAGCUGGCUCCUUCUGAAGCUUGCCAGGCGCAGCACCAACAGCCAGACCCCCUGUAAAGCACCGGGGCAGAGGGAGUCUUUGGCUCCUGUGGGAAGGCUGACGGGGCACCGAGGCUUGGGCCUGGCUCCUUUAAGAGGCUGCCUCUUCCUGCCGAUCCAGACAGGGGGAGAGAUGAUGGAUGGUCUGAAGAGGAGGGGAUUGGAGCCACAAGCAGGAAUGGGAUGGAGAACUGACCAGCUGGCAAAAUCUCCAGGAGAUCAAUGGAGACCAUCUGAAUGGAGGGCCUGCACUUUGGAGACCUGGCAGCGAGUGGCUGGGCUCCCCAGAGCCUGUUAUACACUGUCCUGCUCCCAGAGAAGAGAGCAGUUCUGGCUGGAGGCCUAGUGGCCUUUCCCACCCAACCCCCAGUCUAGGAUAACCCAGAAGGCUUCUCUACUGCCCUCCCCACCCCUGCCCAGGCUGUGCUCUGUUCAGGAGCUGAGGCGGUAGGUGUGUUCCUCAUCUGAGAGCGCACACUGGCUCUUCAAGGUGUGCCCCUGGUAAAGCUGAGCAGGUGGGAUGCGAGGCUGUUCUUCAAUCACCGCGUCUGGAUGCCGUCACCUUCAGAAUGUCCAGGCUUGUCGCUGCUGGCCAGUGUGGGCCCCUUUAGGCCACUGAUGUCUUGGGUCUUCAGGGCCUCCUCCUGCCCCCAGAAGGUGGUGCUGCAGGAGGGACAGCCCUGUCACACCAUCACACCUUCUCCGGGAGGUCUGACCUGAGACACCCUGCCCACCAGCUCACACCAUCCCCAGGAAGAGUGAUAGAAUUGGCUCAGUAGGCUGGGGUCCCCUGAUGGGCAAGUUCAGACAUCACCUACAAGGGUGAUCUUCCUAAGUGAAGGGCCGAUCUGAAGGACUCUCUGUUUUUAGGGGUCCUCCCAAGGCUAGGCUCUGCAUUGGCUCCCCUGAAGCAACCCAAGCUAGGCCUGAUCAGAGCUGUUGGAGGUGCCGGGGGUAGGAGACGGUGACCUGGGGUGCGGGACGUUCCUCUGCCUGGGGCCAAAGCAUGUGCUUUGCACACAUAGGAUGCUUGGUAAGGAGGGCCCAUCGCUUGGCUCACUAAUCCCCUUGGCUCUGUGCAGUCUCCUGCUUCAUCCAUAAACAUUCCAGCCUUCACGGUGGGGUCCAAAGCCCAGAGGGCCAGCAUGCCAGCUCUUCUGGGCUCCUGAGGUUUUGGACCUAGUAAUAUGAACUAAAAUGCCAGGGAAUCUCCAGGAGCUUCCGACUGGGCCAUUCCUGGCCCUGGUUGGGAACCACUGCUCUGGAGAGCCAUAAUCUCCUGAACUCACUCCUGGCCCUGGCUACCUAGACAAAGACAAAAUGAGACCUUCCUGGGGGACUAAGCUGGGGAAGAGGAGCGAGCUGGACAGCUGAUACACCUUUCUUGGGAAUCAGGGAGAGCUGAACUGGACUUUAGAUGUGGCCCCGCUGUUGGUUGUGAAAUUUGGGGGCCUGACUCCCUGCUUUGUGCUCAUCUGCUUUGAGGCACUCUGAGCAGGGCAGGAGGGGGCCCCCAAAUAUCUCCCCCAUAUAAUACACCAUUAUAGCUUCACUUCAUUUGCUCAUGAAAGGUUUUAUCAUUUCUAAAGGCCUCCCUUAUAAAAUGCAAAUACCUUUAUAAAGUAGUCAUGCCUUAAGAUCAUUAUUGGCUAACAUCUCAGUUAUUAUCAUUUCAGUGGGACAUAGAUAACAGCCAGAAAUUUGGUCUGGAUAGAGGUAUCUAUGUGCGUAUGCAUGGGCGUGUGCGUGUGUUUGGGUUGAGGGUGGGAGAUAUAGUUUUCCAUUCAUUCAGCAAGUAUUGAUCAAACAUGGGGAAGUGCCAAACAGUUUUCUUGGUCCUGGGGAUCCAGAGUGAACAGAAGAGAUGAAAAUCUGCACUUGUGGGAUUUACAUUCUUUUGGGAGAGGGGGACAAUAAACAAAUAAAAAACAAA
Long non-coding RNA from Ailuropoda melanoleuca (giant panda), 3717 nucleotides. RefSeq lists it as uncharacterized. The record is from RefSeq and is a predicted model, not a curated record. NCBI's taxonomy places the organism in Eukaryota, Metazoa, Chordata, Mammalia, Carnivora, Ursidae. The transcript is spliced from 2 exons.